GAUGAACGCUGGCGGCGUGCCUAAUACAUGCAAGUCGAGCGAACGGACGAGAAGCUUGCUUCUCUGAUGUUAGCGGCGGACGGGUGAGCAACACGUGGAUAACCUACCUAUAAGACUGGGAUAACUUCGGGAAACCGGAGCUAAUACCGGAUAAUAUUUUGAACCGCAUGGUUCAAAAGUGAAAGACGGUCUUGCUGUCACUUAUAGAUGGAUCCGCGCUGCAUUAGCUAGUUGGUAAGGUAACGGCUUACCAAGGCAACGAUGCAUAGCCGACCUGAGAGGGUGAUCGGCCACACUGGAACUGAGACACGGUCCAGACUCCUACGGGAGGCAGCAGUAGGGAAUCUUCCGCAAUGGGCGAAAGCCUGACGGAGCAACGCCGCGUGAGUGAUGAAGGUCUUCGGAUCGUAAAACUCUGUUAUUAGGGAAGAACAUAUGUGUAAGUAACUGUGCACAUCUUGACGGUACCUAAUCAGAAAGCCACGGCUAACUACGUG
RNAcentral lists this ribosomal RNA (497 nucleotides) under uncultured bacterium. Its description in RNAcentral is "partial 16S ribosomal RNA". It matches the Rfam family "Bacterial small subunit ribosomal RNA", at positions 28 to 507 of the family's 1533-position model. The record is from RNAcentral.